AUUAUGCAGGGCUAGCCAAAGGAGCCUAAACCAUGUAGGACAAAAUUGCAAAGAUAUAGACAUUAUUAUUUUUAACUUUUGUUUUAGUUUGUCAUCUAUAUCUGGGCUUUUUAUGCUCAGGAAAAACGUGGAACUCACUAUGAAAUGCAGAAUCUCUGCAAAUCAGUCCCGAGAGCCCCCACGAUCCUUCACUGAAGUCAAGGAAUCGAACACUCAGCUCGUAGAGCGGAUUGCUCAUUCCUCGCAGCUGAUAUCACAUGGGGGCCUACACUGGUCUGGAGUAAAGAGAAAUAAAUCGGAAACUUGCGAUAACUCUAGAACCAUGGUCCUUAAAGUACGGCUCCCCAACCAGCACCAUCAGUUUCACCUGGGAACUUGUUAGAAAUGCAGUUUCUCAGAACCCAGCCCAGACCUGCUCUGUCAGAAGCUCUAGGGGUGCCUCGUAUUCUCCAUUUAGCAAGUUCUCCAGUUGAUUCUGCUGCAGGCUGAACUUUGAGAACCACUGCUCUGGAUAAGAUUGAAGGCAAUUCCCGAAAGCUGAAGAGAGAUCACCAUAGACAUGUGGCAUCAUCUGUAUAUCCUCUAGUAGAAAGCAGGAGCCGCACUCCCCAGGUCUAGAACCGGAAGUGCGCCUCAUUAUGAAAUGAAAUGAUUAUUUUUGUGCUGAAGGAAAUACCUGUAGGACUCAAAGUUACUUUGGAGACAUAUAGAAAAUAAGAUUUAUGCGUGAGCGUUCAGAAGAAAUGAAAGCAUUUACACGGGCCGUCUUCCAGCCAGUCUGGUGAAAAAGGAGACAAAGAUGAAGAAUCUCUUCAAAACAAGAAUGCACGUGCCAACAGUAACGGCCUUUGUAUUUAAGAAGCAAUCAGUGAUAACAUGAUUUUCCUUUUCUGCCCUAUUUUUGUAUUUCAGUUCUUUGGGAAGAAGAGCAAUUAAAAACUUGACACACUAUCAAAAAAUGAUGCAAUGGAAAUUAAAUUGCAUGGAUUUUGUGAGUAGAUUUAGGGAAAUGGAAUGCGUUUGAUGUCGGGCCUCCCAAUCCUUGACCACAUCCCACUUGUCACAUAGGAAGAAAUGGAUUUCCAUGAUAUUUAGGAAAAAAAUGAACACGAUCUACAGAGUGUCUGUUAAUCUUACUUAAGGCAAGGAGGAGCCUGAAGAUGAAUGGUUCAGGAGAUGACAGAUGUCCUAAGAAGGAAAAUAGCUCCAAAACGAAACUAUUUCACCUCUUAUUUCUUAAGAGGCAGGCAUGUUCCCAAUCAAAACUAUAUCCAACAUUUUAUUUCAAGUAAAUGAGCUAAAUAAUGAUGUUGUUUGCAGAUAGAUACCUGUUAAUGUGUAAUAGAGCACUUGAAGAUAUUUACUAUUGGGGCAGAACCCUUUUGGGGUGUGCCCUGCUGAUGCUGGUCUGCUCUCUACAGGUUGUUGACAUGUUUAGGUCACCAGCAGAAAACUAGACACUCCAUGGAAACAAUCCUGGGAAAGGAGUGAAUAGAUCUGGUUUCAGUUUCUAGAGCUGUGCACCAGCAGAAAUUGAAGAGACCGUCUGUAUGGAUGGGACAUUGUAUGGACAUCUUGGAAGGAUUAAUUGAUGGUCCAAGUUCUCUGACGUCAGCUGGUGGCUAGAGCUUGGACUAGAAGGAUGAGGGUAGGCAAUUUGCUUGUCCAGGUCUUGAUUUGCUGGCCAGGCAUGUCCAUUCUCUCAUGGUUGAUACCUGCAUCAAUAGCGCUGAGAAGCAAUUAAAAUUAAGGAUUUCUGAAGAAAACAUGUUAAAACCUAUGAUGCAUUUUACAAAUUCUUGGAUAGAUGAGGCGUGUGGUUCCACAUCGAAUGCUGUGAGCUGUUUUCCUGUUCCCUUUUUCCAUGAAGCUGCGUAAUAAACAGAACUGAGCCGCCUGGUGGCCCAUGGGGCAAUUAUGAAUAUAGCAACGCUUCUCUUU
Molecule: long non-coding RNA, 1941 nt
Organism: Equus asinus (donkey)
Lineage: Eukaryota; Metazoa; Chordata; Mammalia; Perissodactyla; Equidae
Source: Ensembl